GCCCAAACCAAUAAAGUUUUCUUUAUUGGGGUUGCGGACAUAUCAUAACGAAGAGGUAUCGUAAUUGAAGAGGUUUGGAAAGACCCACCACAGAAGGUAAUAGUCCUGUAUGUUAAACGAGAAGACUUUAGAUAUGAUCCAGAGUACCACGGGACACGUGAAACCCUGUGGGAAGCAGGAGGGACCACCCUCCAAGGCUAAAUACUACCUAGUGACCGAUAGCGUAUAGUACCGUGAGGGAAAGGUGAAAAGAACCCCGGGAGGGGAGUGAAAUAGAACCUGAAACCCUGCACUUACAAGCUGUGGAAGCACAUUUCUUGUGUGACCGCGUACUUUUUGUAGAACGGGCCAACGAGUUACGUUAAGUAG
RNAcentral lists this ribosomal RNA (369 nucleotides) under Clostridioides difficile. Its description in RNAcentral is "partial 23S ribosomal RNA". It matches the Rfam family "Bacterial large subunit ribosomal RNA", at positions 267 to 640 of the family's 2925-position model. The record is from RNAcentral. Lineage: Bacteria; Bacillati; Bacillota; Clostridia; Peptostreptococcales; Peptostreptococcaceae.